This 70-nucleotide microRNA precursor is filed under the name Pelobates cultripes (western spadefoot toad). Lineage: Eukaryota; Metazoa; Chordata; Amphibia; Anura; Pelobatidae. The record is from RNAcentral.
CAGUGUGUAGUGUGUUUGUGUAGUGUGCAUUAUAUAAACACACUACACAAACACACUACACAAACACACU